UCCUACGGGAGGCAGCAGUGGGGAAUUUUGGACAAUGGGCGAAAGCCUGAUCCAGCAAUGCCGCGUGUGUGAAGAAGGCCUUCGGGUUGUAAAGCACUUUUGUCCGGAAAGAAAUCCUUGGCUCUAAUACAGUCGGGGGAUGACGGUACCGGAAGAAUAAGCACCGGCUAACUACGUGCCAGCAGCCGCGGUAAUACGUAGGGUGCGAGCGUUAAUCGGAAUUACUGGGCGUAAAGCGUGCGCAGGCGGUUUGCUAAGACCGAUGUGAAAUCCCCGGGCUCAACCUGGGAACUGCAUUGGUGACUGGCAGGCUAGAGUAUGGCAGAGGGGGGUAGAAUUCCACGUGUAGCAGUGAAAUGCGUAGAGAUGUGGAGGAAUACCGAUGGCGAAGGCAGCCCCCUGGGCCAAUACUGACGCUCAUGCAC
RNAcentral lists this ribosomal RNA (425 nucleotides) under uncultured Burkholderia sp. RNAcentral's name for it is "bacterial SSU rRNA". It matches the Rfam family "Bacterial small subunit ribosomal RNA", at positions 337 to 754 of the family's 1533-position model. The record is from RNAcentral. Lineage: Bacteria; Pseudomonadati; Pseudomonadota; Betaproteobacteria; Burkholderiales; Burkholderiaceae.